UACGAAGGGGGCUAGCGUUGUUCGGAAUUACUGGGCGUAAAGCGCGCGCAGGCGGCUCUUCAAGUCAGGGGUGAAAGCCCGGAGCUCAACUCCGGAACUGCCUUUGAAACUGUAGAGCUUGAGUACGGGAGAGGUGAGUGGAAUUCCCAGUGUAGAGGUGAAAUUCGUAGAUAUUGGGAAGAACACCGGUGGCGAAGGCGGCUCACUGGCCCGUUACUGACGCUCAGGCGCGACAGCGUGGGGAUCAAACAGG
RNAcentral lists this ribosomal RNA (253 nucleotides) under uncultured bacterium. RNAcentral describes it as "partial 16S ribosomal RNA". It matches the Rfam family "Bacterial small subunit ribosomal RNA", at positions 524 to 776 of the family's 1533-position model. The record is from RNAcentral.